AAGUCGUAACAAGGUUUCCGUAGGUGAACCUGCGGAGCAAUCCCUAGUAAAUCAUUGUUGAACAGAGUUGAUUUAGGGACCUCUGUACGGAAGGACUGCGGUUUGCGUGCAAUUGAGUGGUAGCGCAGUGCCUUUUAGACGGUUAUCGUGUGGAAGGGACGAUAACGUUACCGUGUGUCAGUGACGGUAACUUGUCAAGGAGGUGGCUCCUAAACACCUUUGCUAGAGGUCCACACGACCUCCAGGCCGAAAGGUCCCUAACCACCCAUCGCAAGAAUUUAGCGUGCACCUAACGGUCGUACGGAUCCCCAAACUGAACAACUGUUAACAAUGGAUAUCUUGGUUCUCGC
Molecule: unclassified non-coding RNA, 350 nt
Filed under: fungal sp.
Lineage: Eukaryota; Fungi
Description: partial internal transcribed spacer region
Source: RNAcentral